CUCCAAGUGGAUGAAAGUAUCAAGAACCGGAACAAGAGUUUUUCAUUGCCCUAUUUGAGAAGAGCUGCGUGAAUGGCUUUUAUAUUCAGGAUAGAGAUACAUUCUUCAAUCCAACCACCAGAAGCCGCAUUUGCAACUUCAGCCUCCGUCAGAGGACCUCAGCUGCCCCAGCGAACAGGUCCUUCUGUACAGGGAAUGGGAUCCUCCUCGAAGCAUUGACAAGAAGCAGCCCUUAGAUCUCAUCAGGAAAUUCUACGGAGAGAUGGUCGGAAUCUACUUUGCUUGGCUGGGC
Vicugna pacos (alpaca) is the source of this 292-nucleotide non-coding RNA. NCBI's taxonomy places the organism in Eukaryota, Metazoa, Chordata, Mammalia, Artiodactyla, Camelidae. The record is from RefSeq and is a predicted model, not a curated record.